Molecule: RNA transcript, 1971 nt
Organism: Camellia sinensis
Lineage: Eukaryota; Viridiplantae; Streptophyta; Magnoliopsida; Ericales; Theaceae
Gene name: glucan endo-1,3-beta-glucosidase 11
Source: RefSeq, a predicted model, not a curated record
ACCAUUAAGCAUAGCAUAACGGCUCAUUUGCAUUUUAGAAUUCCGUGGAAGUCUUAAAAUAAAACUUACUUUUUUGAGUGAAGAAGAGAAGAUGAAGUUGCAGGUGUGGAGACUGUAGCUCACACAAUAUUAUACGCUUGACAGGUGGGGGUGUGUGUCUACUUGACGCCUUUAAAGUUAGACGACGCCGUUACACCAUAACCUGCUCUUCUUUUGCAUGAUAGAUUCUCUCUUCAACCGACUCUUCUUCAAUACUACUUACCCGGAGGAUUCCAUGGAGUUCAACAGAGCCAACUGCUCUUCAAUACUAGUUGUCUUCUUUAUCUUAGGGUUAGUGUUUCCGGCGUCCAUGGUUGCAGCGAUUGGGAUCAACUACGGGCAGAUUGCGAACAACCUUCCGUCGCCGGAAAAUGUAAUACCGCUGGUUAGAUCGAUUGGGGCGAGUAAAAUAAAGCUGUACGACGCGGAUCCAAGAGUACUAAAGGCAUUUGCCAACAGCAGCGUGGAAUUCAUAGUGGGACUGGGAAACGAGUACUUGGGGAAGAUGAGAGAUCCGGACAAGGCACAAGCCUGGGUGAAGACAAACGUAGGAGCAUACAUCCCUGCCACAAAAAUCACCUGCAUCACAGUCGGAAACGAAGUGUUGACACUGAACGACACUUCUCUGAGCGACAGCCUCCUCCCGGCGAUGCAGAGCGUCCACACGGCUCUGGUGAACCUCAAUCUGGAGAAGCAGGUCAGUGUGACUACCGCACACUCCCUGGCUGUUCUUGAAACCUCCUAUCCACCCUCUGCAGGAGCAUUCCGUCCAGAUCUCAGGGGACGUAUUACUCAGAUAUUGGACUUCCAUCUCAAAACCGGUUCCCCUUUCCUCAUCAACGCCUACCCUUUCUUCUCCUACAAGGCUAAUCCAAAGCAAGUCCCUCUCGACUUCGUCCUGUUUCAGCCAAACUCCGGAAUUGUAGAUCCAGUCUCCAAUCUUCACUACGACAACAUGUUGUUCGCACAGAUCGACGCCGUUUACUCUGCCCUAGCAUCCCCAUCCCUAUCCCUAGGAGGAGGAGGAGGAGGCCCUUACAAGAAACUCCCCGUUCAGAUCUCCGAGACUGGUUGGCCUUCCAAGGGAGACCAGGACGAAGCAGGGGCCACUCCCGAUAAUGCCAACAAGUAUAACACCAAUCUCAUGAAGCUCAUUGCUCAGAACAAGGGAACCCCCUUGAAGCCCAAUUCCGACCUCAAUAUCUACGUUUUUGCUCUCUUCAAUGAGAACAUGAAGCCCGGCCCCACCUCCGAGAGGAACUACGGCUUGUUCAACCCCGACGGCUCUCUGGCCUAUCCACUCGGCGGCCUCACCGCCAAUUACAACAUCGUCAAUAACACCACCACCACCACCACCACCACCAAUGCCUCUUCCUCUGGCGGAGGUACAAGUGCGACGAAUGCGCCUUCGCCGCCGCAGAGCUCUUCCACUGGUUAUUUAUCUAUCUCGGCGGCAGCGGGAAGAUUGCAUUUUGAUAGCACUUGGGUUUAUAUGUGCCUGGUGGGGUUACUUUCUCUUCCGGUCUUCUAGAUUUUUAGUCAGUUGCAUUGCAGAAUUCAAAACUUGAAAAUUCAAACGACGCUCAAGGUGACAUCAGCUUUAGUUUUGGUGGAUAUGGGAUGGAUGGAGGAGAAAGAGAGAGAGAUAGAGAGAAUAACAGGGAGGGAGGGAGCUUCUCUGUAACUGAAGGAGAUUAAGAUGAGGGAAUAUUAAAUUUUAGGCUUGUACAUAUAUGCUCUGCUAGGGGGAAUGCACCAUGUUAAUUUUUCGUCAGGCAAGGAUUUUGGAUGAGAUUUCAAUUUAUUUAUGUUUCUUUGCAAUCCCCUCCCAUUUGUUUCUAGUGUAGGAGGAAGCUUAAUGUUAUUUUCAUUAUGAUGUCUGUCAUUGGCAUUUUGACAUUAGUUAACUUAAAUGAAACAAUGAUUAUGACA